UACAGAGGGUGCGAGCGUUGUUCGGAAUUAUUGGGCGUAAAGGGCGCGUAGGCGGUGCCACAAGUCACCUGUGAAAUCUCUGGGCUUAACUCAGAGCCUGCAGGCGAAACUGUGGUGCUGGAGUAUGGGAGAGGUGCGUGGAAUUCCCGGUGUAGCGGUGAAAUGCGUAGAUAUCAGGAGGAACACCGGUGGCGAAGGCGGAUCUCUGGGCCGAUACUGACGCUGAGGAGCGAAAGCGUGGGGAGCGAACAG
This 252-nucleotide ribosomal RNA is filed under the name uncultured bacterium. RNAcentral's name for it is "partial 16S ribosomal RNA". It matches the Rfam family "Bacterial small subunit ribosomal RNA", at positions 524 to 775 of the family's 1533-position model. The record is from RNAcentral.